UCCUGUUUACAUGGGUUUAAAUCCUGUUUCUAUCA
This 35-nucleotide transfer RNA is filed under the name Bavayia kunyie. RNAcentral's name for it is "partial tRNA-Tyr". The record is from RNAcentral. Lineage: Eukaryota; Metazoa; Chordata; Lepidosauria; Squamata; Diplodactylidae.